CUUCUGGCCUUCAUCUUUCUCCCAUGCUGGAUGCUUCCUACCCUCAAACACUGGACUCCAAGUUCUUCAGCUUUUGGACUCUUAGACUUACACCAGUGGUUUGCCAGGGGCUCUAAGGCCUUUGGCCACAUACUGAAGGCUGCACUGCAGGCUUCCCUGCUUUUGAGGUUUUGGGACUCGGACUGGCUUCCUUGCUCCUCAGCUUGCAGAUGGCCUACUGUGGGACUUCACCUUGUGAUCAUGUCACACCCUACAAGCUGGGGGAGACAGAGAUGAAGUCAGUGGUUCUGUCUCGGCUUAUGAUUAUAGUCACCUGAGAAUCUUCAAAAAAGAAAAAAAAAAAGAUGCAUUGCCCUGGCCCCAUCUCCAGAGAUUCCAAAUGAAUGAGUCUGGGGCAGCUCCUGAGCAUCAGUGAUUUUUAAAAGAUUCCUGGGUGAUCUGAAAGUGCAGCUAAGACUGAGGACCAUGAGGAGAUGAGGGCACGAAUAACAUGGAUUAAAAUGAAAAGGCAAGGCUAUCCUGAACACUUCAGAGGGACUGCUCUCAGGAAAGCCUCCCAGCAGGCCUGCACCCUUGGCCUGCACAGGACUGACAGCCCUUCUAUCUCUGCUCAGCCCCAUUGACCACAAAUUUAGCCACUGCUCAGGCGAGAGAUGUGGCACAUCUGACUCAAACUGAGCAAAGAGAAGACGGUAGCAUGACUAACUUUCUCUCAGCUGAACAAUAAUGGUACCACCUUUCUCGAGGGAGUGUGCAUUUUGAGAAACUGUGCGGCUGCCGCCCACCCAAGCUCAGGAGUCCCAACGCUUGGGCAGAGAAGAUUUUGAGGCAGGUCUAAAUGUCUCUAAAAUUUGUAUGGCUAUAAAAAA
RNAcentral lists this long non-coding RNA (869 nucleotides) under Homo sapiens (human). RNAcentral describes it as "HSALNT0114843". Lineage: Eukaryota; Metazoa; Chordata; Mammalia; Primates; Hominidae. The record is from RNAcentral.